AACACUUGGGAUUACAAGGUUGCUAGUUUCAUGGAGGCCUGUUGUAGUAUAAAUCUAUCUGUGUCACACAGGUUACAGUGGAGGGGGACAAUAUUUAACCAUAACAUUACUUGUAGUUGUGACUGUAAGGAUCGAUAUUAAUAUUUCAUGUUCAUCCCUAUAUAUCAGUCUUUAUUUUGGCCUCAUAUCAAUCUUUUGAUUUA
Long non-coding RNA from Myripristis murdjan (pinecone soldierfish), 203 nucleotides. RefSeq lists it as uncharacterized. The record is from RefSeq and is a predicted model, not a curated record. NCBI's taxonomy places the organism in Eukaryota, Metazoa, Chordata, Actinopteri, Holocentriformes, Holocentridae. The transcript has 2 exons.